AAUAAAAAGGUUCCCUCUGACUCCCAGCCAUUUUAUAACUCUUAAUAAUUAGGUGGCCUGGUAUAAUAGAAGCUGAUCCUGACACUGAUACCUACUAUAAAGCAAAGAAUGAAAAAGGCGGAAAACCUUCACCAGCUACACCUGAGAAGUAUCAAUCAUGUUGUCUUUAUUGAUACACCAGUAUCAAGGAGUUGGAUUCAUGCACUAAACACUGCUCCAUUUACUUGUAGUACCACUUUAAAGGACUGUGGAUCAAAUAUUCCAUUGAAGUAUCAAGCUGGUCUUUCUACAGCAAUGUCGCAGGCAAAAGCUACCACUAAAUGAGAGAUUGUCUCAGUGGGGUUUCAUGUCCCGAUAUAAUAAAGGUCGUAAGAGAAAAGACAGCUCAAAGCAAGG
Molecule: unclassified non-coding RNA, 396 nt
Filed under: Amphimedon queenslandica
Lineage: Eukaryota; Metazoa; Porifera; Demospongiae; Haplosclerida; Niphatidae
Description: uncharacterized LOC109584547, transcript variant X2
Source: RNAcentral